GGGGAAUAUUGCGCAAUGGGGGGAACCCUGACGCAGCAACGCCGCGUGAGCGAAGAAGGCCUUCGGGUCGUAAAGCUCUGUCAUGAGGGAAGAAGUCUCUCGUUUAUAGGGAGGUGACGGUACCUCAAGAGGAAGCCCCGGCUAACUACGUGCCAGCAGCCGCGGUAACACGUAGGGGGCGAGCGUUGUCCGGAAUUACUGGGCGUAAAGGGCGUGUAGGCGGCUGAUUAAGUCAGUUGUAAAAGGCUGCGGCUCAACCGCAGGAAUGCAAUUGAAGCUGAUCAGCUUGAGGGCAAGAGAGGGAAGCGGAAUUCCUAGUGUAGCGGUGAAAUGCGUAGAUAUUAGGAGGAACACCAGUGGCGAAGGCGGCUUUCUGGCUUGUCCCUGACGCUGAGGCGCGAAAGCGUGGGGAGCAAACA
RNAcentral lists this ribosomal RNA (419 nucleotides) under uncultured Eubacteriales bacterium. Its description in RNAcentral is "bacterial SSU rRNA". It matches the Rfam family "Bacterial small subunit ribosomal RNA", at positions 356 to 774 of the family's 1533-position model. The record is from RNAcentral. Lineage: Bacteria; Bacillati; Bacillota; Clostridia; Eubacteriales.